Molecule: ribosomal RNA, 253 nt
Filed under: uncultured bacterium
Lineage: Bacteria
Description: partial 16S ribosomal RNA
Rfam family: Bacterial small subunit ribosomal RNA
Source: RNAcentral
UACGUAGGGUGCAAGCGUUGUCCGGAAUUAUUGGGCGUAAAGAGCUCGUAGGCGGUUUGUCGCGUCUGCUGUGAAAACUCGGGGCUUAACUCCGGGCCUGCAGCGGGUACGGGCAGACUAGAGUGCGGUAGGGGAGACUGGAAUUCCUGGUGUAGCGGUGAAAUGCGCAGAUAUCAGGAGGAACACCGGUGGCGAAGGCGGCACUCUGGGCCGGUACUGACGCUGAGGAGCGAAAGCGUGGGGAGCGAACAGG